This 157-nucleotide ribosomal RNA is filed under the name Liparis liliifolia (large twayblade). Its description in RNAcentral is "5.8S ribosomal RNA". Lineage: Eukaryota; Viridiplantae; Streptophyta; Magnoliopsida; Asparagales; Orchidaceae. The record is from RNAcentral.
UCGAGUCUUUGAACGCAAGUUGCGCCCGAGGCCUAUCGGCCAAGGGCACGUUCGCCUGGGCGUCAAGCGUUGCAUCGCUCCGUGCUAUCUCCAUCCCAUCUAUGGGUGUGUUGGAAAGGGCUCAGAUGCGUAGAGUGGCUCCUCGUGCCAUGGUGCG